This 95-nucleotide small nuclear RNA is filed under the name Dryobates pubescens (Downy woodpecker). Lineage: Eukaryota; Metazoa; Chordata; Aves; Piciformes; Picidae. The record is from RNAcentral.
GCAAGUUUGUGGAUACUAAAAUUGGAAUGAUAUGGAGAUUAGCAUGGCUCCUGUGCAAGGAUAACGUGCAAAUUCAUGAAGAGUUCCAAAUUUUU